RNAcentral lists this ribosomal RNA (478 nucleotides) under uncultured bacterium. RNAcentral describes it as "partial 16S ribosomal RNA". It matches the Rfam family "Bacterial small subunit ribosomal RNA", at positions 28 to 523 of the family's 1533-position model. The record is from RNAcentral.
GACGAACGCUGGCGGCGUGCUUAACACAUGCAAGUCGAACGGUAAGGCCCUUCGGGGUACACGAGUGGCGAACGGGUGAGUAACACGUGGGUGAUCUGCCCUGCACUUCGGGAUAAGCCUGGGAAACUGGGUCUAAUACCGGAUAGGACUCCGGACUGCAUGGUCUGGGGUGGAAAGCUUUUGCGGUGUGGGAUGGGCCCGCGGCCUAUCAGCUUGUUGGUGGGGUGAUGGCCUACCAAGGCGACGACGGGUAGCCGGCCUGAGAGGGUGACCGGCCAACCUGGGACUGAGAUACGGCCCAGACUCCGACGGGAGGCAGCAGUGGGGAAUAUUGCACAAUGGGCGCAAGCCUGAUGCAGCGACGCCGCGCGAGGGAUGACGGCCUUCGGGUUGUAAACCUCUUUCAGCAUCGACGAAGCGAAAGUGACGGUAGGUGCAGAAGAAGGACCGGCCAACUACGUGCCAGCCGCCGCCGUAA